UUUUUUUUCUGUGUUCAACUGCCCUUCCUCCCACGCAGGCGAAAUAAUCCGAGCUGUCUUUAUUAAGAUGCAUACGAAGUGUAUACAGUCUGUAUAGUAUCAUCUCUGUUAUAUUUGUCCUAUAAAAAGCAAAUUUGAAGAAGAAAAAGUAAACUUGCUGUGGAACCAUUUGGAGGAUUGCUUACAGUUACACUAAUAGCUGAGGACUGAACAGAUGCUGGUUUAUUUUGAACAGUGAUCCUCUCUACAUGGUCUGUACUGUUUACUAGAAUAAACAUUUCAGUUCAAUGAGAAAGAACUGACUGCUGCUUGAUUUGUUACAGGUGACAGUUUGAAUCACACAGCAGAGCUCAACUCCAAAAAGGAGGAGGAAAGACUUCGAGUUAAAUGCUGCAGUUAUUUGAUUUUACAUACGUUGUCUCUAAAAGCUGAUUUUUAAUUAAGUUUAUUGACAAAUUAUA
Molecule: long non-coding RNA, 461 nt
Filed under: Larimichthys crocea (large yellow croaker)
Lineage: Eukaryota; Metazoa; Chordata; Actinopteri; Sciaenidae
Description: TARL
Source: RNAcentral